This is a long non-coding RNA of Pungitius pungitius (ninespine stickleback), 1158 nucleotides long. RefSeq lists it as uncharacterized. The transcript is spliced from 2 exons. The record is from RefSeq and is a predicted model, not a curated record. NCBI's taxonomy places the organism in Eukaryota, Metazoa, Chordata, Actinopteri, Perciformes, Gasterosteidae.
UAAGAGCUACACGCACGGGCUACGGAGGGGGAGAGCGCAUGAGGAAGUUGUGUUGUUGUUGUGAUGACGGAGUGGAUGUAGCGGCCGGAGAAUUGUCUGUACUGUAACUUUGUUACUCAGUGUUAGAUUAAUAAAUCCUCAAAGAAAGUAAAGCGGACUUUUAUUCACCAACCCCGGGACGAAGGGAAUUAACCCCAAAGUUUACUUAGCCGACAGUACUUUGGCCCUGGAGCAGACAGCAACGCCUCCCCCUGCAAACUCCGACUACGGUCAGAGACGGACCGGCAGGAAAGGUGAACACAAGGCUAACGAAGUUAAUUGUCAACAUUAAUGUGCCUGUCAUGGUAUGAGGCCAGACAUGGCCCGUGCAAAGUCAUGCCACCAGUCUGAGGACAUCACUGGGAAUGGCACAUGGGACACGUGGCUUUCAACUCCAGCGAGGUGGGAAAGCAUUUCUUUAUGUAUAUUUUGUUCUGUCUGCAUAAUUGUAAAAGACUUCUUCCCGCAUUCGUACAACAGCAUUCCAUAUCGUGUGACUGUCGAUGGAUGUAAUAAUUUGGCCUUCUUUUUUUCUUCCACCACACGGCACGGGUGGGCUUAACCGCGGGCAAUCGUGGCAAAGACCCAAGUCGACUGGACCACAGCGGAAAAUGAUCCUUCCAGAGAAGAAGUUAUUUACUUCUACAACGAAUGGAAGAGUUACAACUUCCAGAUGACAGCUCGCCGCUCAUCCUUCUGGGCAACUUGAACAUCCGACAGAACUUAUGUGACCUACUGCGUUUAUUUUCUCCUUUAGCUCUCACUAACUCUAACUUGCCCCAGCACCUGUUGUGAUUUAUUCUAGCGCUUCCACAAUUGAAUUUUGCUUGGUAUUUCAUCUAACUUGCCCCAGCACCUGUUGUGAUUUAUUCUAGCGCUUCCACAAUUGAAUUUUGCUUGUUAUUUUAUCUAACUUGCCCCAGCACCUGUUGUGAUUAAUUCUCUCUCACGGUGUCAAGUGUGUACCUUGAUCUUUUUUUUGCUCAUUGCAGCCCUUCUCUGCAAGGAGUGCUAACAAUGCAUGGUGCUGUUCAUUAAGCAACUGGGUAAAGAGCUUGUAAUGCCACAUAUGAAAAAGCUCAUAAGCUCAUUUAUAAUAAAAUAAUAUAUAUAAUCUUG